RNAcentral lists this ribosomal RNA (497 nucleotides) under uncultured bacterium. Its description in RNAcentral is "partial 16S ribosomal RNA". It matches the Rfam family "Bacterial small subunit ribosomal RNA", at positions 28 to 507 of the family's 1533-position model. The record is from RNAcentral.
GAUGAACGUUGGCGGCGUGCCUAAUACAUGCAAGUCGAGCGAACGGACGAGAAGCUUGCUUCUCUGAUGUUAGCGGCGGACGGGUGAGUAACACGUGGAUAACCUACCUAUAAGACUGGGAUAACUUCGGGAAACCGGAGCUAAUACCGGAUAAUAUUUUGAACCGCAUGGUUCAAAAGUGAAAGACGGUCUUGCUGUCACGUAUAGAUGGAUCCGCGCUGCAUUAGCUAGUUGGUAAGGUAACGGCCUACCAAGGCAACGAUGCAUAGCCGACCUGAGAGGAUGAUCGGCCACACUGGAACUGAGACACGGUCCAGACUCCUACGGGAGGCAGCAGUAGGGAAUCUUGCGCAAUGGGCGAAAGCCUGACGGAGCAACGCCGCGUGAGUGAUGAAGGUCUUCGGAUCGUAAAACUCUGUUGUUAGGGAAGAACAUAUGUGUAAGUAACUGUGCACAUCUUGACGGUACCUAAACAGAAAGCCACGGCUAACUACGUG